GAUGAACGCUGGCGGCGUGCCUAAUACAUGCAAGUCGAGCGAACAGACGAGGAGCUUGCUCCUCUGACGUUAGCGGCGGACGGGUGAGUAACACGUGGAUAACCUACCUAUAAGACUGGGAUAACUUCGGGAAACCGGAGCUAAUACCGGAUAAUAUAUUGAACCGCAUGGUUCAAUAGUGAAAGACGGUUUUGCUGUCACUUAUAGAUGGAUCCGCGCCGCAUUAGCUAGUUGGUAAGGUAACGGCUUACCAAGGCAACGAUGCGUAGCCGACCUGAGAGGGUGAUCGCCCACAUGGAAACUGGGACGCGGCCAAGACUCCUAGGGGGGGCAGCAUGGGGGAAUCUCCCGAAAGGGGCGAAACCCUGACGGGCCACCGCCGCGUGGGUGAGGAGGGUCUCCGAUUCGAAAACCUCUUUUAUAGGGGAAAAAAAAAGGUGAAAGUAACUAUCCAGUUCUGGACGGUACCAAAUAAAAAAGCCCCGGCUAACUACG
Molecule: ribosomal RNA, 495 nt
Filed under: uncultured bacterium
Lineage: Bacteria
Description: partial 16S ribosomal RNA
Rfam family: Bacterial small subunit ribosomal RNA
Source: RNAcentral